GGGGAGGCACAUAGCCACGAUCCCAGGCGCCGGGCCAAGUCGCCCGCUGAGCGUCUUCUGCUGGAGGCGACGUGGGGCGGGGGCAACUAAGUUAUCCAGUUAAGAAAUGUGCACUCGCUCUGGACUCUGCUAACUGCUGACGACGGACUCCGCUUCUUGCCUCAGAGGAGGAAGCACGUACCUUCUGUAUGUAACAAAAUGAGGACGGCUGCUUUAAAGCAACUUAAAUAUUGUUGUGUUAAAGAAUAUUUACACUGAUCUCAUUGUAUCAUUUAGCUUCAGAGCUCAAAAUCCUGCUUUACUUGGAUAAGAGCAUGAAGUCCAAAUCUACGCAAGUCAGAAUCUACGCAAGAAAAGCACUAUUGGUAGAAAUGAAUACACUUUGAAUGCCAUGGGCCACCCUGUCUUCUGAGCAGGUGAUAGAACUACAACUCCAACUGGUUUUAGCAAUGAAGAAGAUUUCCAGUUUCACAUCCUUCAAGGGUCCAGAGGUGGCUGCAGAUUCAGGAGACAUGCACCAGGAGGAGCUGGCAAGUUUCCUUGGCAAGAACAGAUGAAUAAAUAAGAAGCAUGAGCUUGCGACUUUUAGCUGAGAUCUCCUCUCCGUGGUUCUCCACUGUGUGCUGUGCCUGGAGAUUGACUUUUGUGGACCACAUCAAUGAGAUUCAUUGCUUUAUGGUCUCCCACUGGAUUCAGCCAACAAGAGACUGCAGUUGGCCAAAGAGAACUUUGUGGUGGUUUGGAGAAGCAAUGUGAGGACACAGCUUCAAUGCCUGAAGGUCAUGGCUGUCAUUUGCAGAGAGAGACAGGUGCAGAGGGAAAAGUGCAAAUGCAGUCUCCCAUGACAACAAAUGAUGCAGUCGAGUUUCCCAUAUUUGGGGAAAUUGCGGAAGUUUGUACACCCAGGGUGCAAUGGAUAAGCCUCACCCUGGGAAAACCAUCUUUGUGAUGAUGGUAUUUGCCCUGACAGGAUCUUAAAAUUUCGAAUGGGAACCAAGAUAUAAUAGAAAUGAAAUUCCAAAGUGAGGCACCAGCUCAUCACAUGCAGCAUUUACAAAGACAAAUCAGCUUCAAAAGUUUUGAGCACCUCAUCUAGAGGUUCAAGAGAGUGAGAUGUAGAAAGGUGAUUUUUUUAAAUGAGUAAAUGGGGCCACUCAGAACUUGAUAUGCAGCCCCUAAAACUUUGGAGACCCAGGAGAUGGUAAUCUGUCUCCUAACCCAAGAAAUUCGGAGGUCAGGGAAGGGCUGCUGAUACCUUUUUGUGGUUGUCUGUGGGUGGCUUUUGCAUAUGGGAAAUGAGCGUGUUCCCUGUCCACCAUGGGUCACAGCGUGUAUGAGUGUCUCCCGUGGACCAGCCACUGACUCUGGAAGAAAGAGAGUGCCCCUGGAGCUAUUUCAGACCCUUGGCAAGGGGACUCCCUCAAAGGGGUGAAGAGACUCCCAACAGUGAGCAUCUGACCAUGAGCUGGACACACUGUGACCAGCCAAAGAAGAACCAUAGUCUACAUUAUGAGGCCAGCAUCUGGAAGAGCCCACAAGUGCAUUCCUAAGAGAAAGUGUUGGCAACUACUUACCUGAUACCAGAGAGCCGUGUCAUAAGGUGAAGAACAGACCUAGUGUGUCAGAAUGUGGCUUUUCCACAGCCCAUGCUCUUCCCUGCAGUCAGCCACUGCAGGAGGAGGGAACAUUGUAGGGAAAGAAUGAAGUAGAAUCACCCCUGCCUCCACCGCCUGAAAUUGACAGGCCACAGUGGGCCUAGCUGGAGAAUGGGAGAGGGGGCAUUAACUUUUGCCCAAACAUUUCAUUACUAUAGAGAACUAGUCAUUCUAACUUUCAAGUUGAGGCUUUAUGUGCUAAAGUGACCAUGAUACUGUCUAGCCUAAUUCAUUGGACCUAUCUAAGAUUUCACUCAGGAGUAGAGAAUUUCUAUUAAAGGGAAGAUGUUAGGAAAAAAUUACAUUGUGCUUUGAGUAUAUCCUGUGUUUGAUAGUUGUUCAAUGGGCUGCUUGCCUACCUUUCAGUGGCUUCCAGCUGGAAACAUUGGGGUCCACAGACCUGGCUGGUAAGAACACUGGCAAAUUGAAUGUGUGUGCAUAAGCAUUUGAAGCAUUGUCAUUGAAAAGCCUCGUCAUUGAAAAGCCUCUUAAAGGCAAGUGCAGAGCUUCCAAAAAAGCUAGCAUACACGGUAUACCCCACUUGGAUAUUCCUUGUGAAGAAUCAUUUAUGUGACAGAGACAAAAACAAAAAUUUUUUAUCAAAGAAAAAUUCGGAGACGUUCGUAGUUAUUUUGCAGCAUGCUUAUUGGUUGAUGUUGCAGUCAUAUUAUUUACUCACAUGAGGAGUCAGUUAGUAGAAUGAGCCAGGAAACAAAGGCAAAAACGGGAGUCAUAAGACAGAGAGGAGAAAAAUAAAACUGUUGGUAGUCUGGAAAUAGUGAAUCUUGUUUGUACAAUUUUUGCCUAAGCUGAUGAUCUGGAAGUGAGCAGAGAGAGGUCCACCUGACAGUCUGUGUUUGAGUAGGUCAACCAACGGUAUCAAAGAUAACAAGUUUCUUUGUUCAGGAAUUCUGCAGAAAGCUUUGAGGUUUGAGCUUGGAACAAAUAGUGGUACCAUCUUCCUGGCAUGUCUGCCAUUGUCCUCCCUUCAUAACUUCCUCCUUGGUUCAACCUGCACCACUUAGUUCAGCAGAUUUUCUCAUCAUUGAAAACCUUCUACCAUCCCUCCUUUUGUCCAUUCGAAGACAGUUUUAAGUGUGUUUGAUUAGGAAGGAAAACCAGAGAGUUCCUAAAAGCUGAUUUUUUUCUAAGUU
Long non-coding RNA from Cercocebus atys (sooty mangabey), 2809 nucleotides. RefSeq lists it as uncharacterized. The transcript is spliced from 8 exons. The record is from RefSeq and is a predicted model, not a curated record. NCBI's taxonomy places the organism in Eukaryota, Metazoa, Chordata, Mammalia, Primates, Cercopithecidae.